UACAGGGGGUGCAAGCGUUGCUCGGAAUUAUUGGGCGUAAAGGGCGCGUAGGCGGUGCGGUAAGUCUGUAGUGAAAUCUCUGGGCUCAACUCAGAGUCUGCUGCAGAAACUGCCGUGCUUGAGUGUGGGAGAGGUGAGUGGAAUUCCCGGUGUAGCGGUGAAAUGCGUAGAUUUCGGGAGGAACACCUGUGGCGAAAGCGGCUCACUGGACCACAACUGACGCUGAGGCGCGAAAGCUAGGGGAGCAAACAGG
Molecule: ribosomal RNA, 253 nt
Filed under: uncultured bacterium
Lineage: Bacteria
Description: partial 16S ribosomal RNA
Rfam family: Bacterial small subunit ribosomal RNA
Source: RNAcentral